UACGUAGGGUGCGAGCGUUGUCCGGAAUUAUUGGGCGUAAAGAGCUCGUAGGCGGUUUGUCACGUCUGCUGUGAAAUCCCGAGGCUCAACCUCGGGCCUGCAGUGGGUACGGGCAGACUGGAGUGCGGUAGGGGAGAAUGGAAUUCCCGGUGUAGCGGUGAAAUGCGCAGAUAUCGGGAGGAACACCAGUGGCGAAGGCGGUACUCUGGGCCGGAACUGACGCUGAGGAGCGAAAGCGUGGGUAGCGAACAGG
RNAcentral lists this ribosomal RNA (253 nucleotides) under uncultured bacterium. RNAcentral describes it as "partial 16S ribosomal RNA". It matches the Rfam family "Bacterial small subunit ribosomal RNA", at positions 524 to 776 of the family's 1533-position model. The record is from RNAcentral.